Molecule: ribosomal RNA, 406 nt
Filed under: uncultured microorganism
Description: bacterial SSU rRNA
Rfam family: Bacterial small subunit ribosomal RNA
Source: RNAcentral
GAGUUUGAUCGUGGCUCAGAUUGAACGCUAGCGGGAUGCCUUACACAUGCAAGUCGAACGGCAGCACGGACUUCGGUCUGGUGGCGAGUGGCGAACGGGUGAGUAAUGUAUCGGAACGUGCCUAGUAGCGGGGGGAUAACUACGCGAAAGCGUAGCUAAUACCGCAUACGCCCUACGGGGAAAGUCAGGGGAUCGCAAGACCUUGCACUAUUAGAGCGGCCGAUAUCGGAUUAGCUAGUUGGUGGGGUAACGGCUCACCAAGGCGACGAUCCGUAGCUGGUUUGAGAGGACGACCAGCCACACUGGGACUGAGACACGGCCCAGACUCCUACGGGAGGCAGCAGUGGGGAAUUUUGGACGAAUGGGGAAACCCUGAUCCAGCCAUCCCGCGUGUGCGAUGAAGGCC